GACGAACUGUGCAAACGUUGUUCGGAAUCACUGGGCUUAAAGGGCGCGUAGGCGGCUCAGCAAGUCGGGGGUGAAAUCUUUCGGCUCAACCGGAAAAGUGCCUUCGAUACUGCUGAGCUCGAGGAAGAUAGGGGUCACGGGAACGACCAGUGGAGCGGUGAAAUGCGUUGAGAUUGGUAGGAACGCCGGUGGCGAAAGCGCGUGACUGGAUCUUUUCUGACGCUGAGGCGCGAAAGCUAGGGGAGCAAACGGG
Molecule: ribosomal RNA, 253 nt
Filed under: uncultured bacterium
Lineage: Bacteria
Description: partial 16S ribosomal RNA
Rfam family: Bacterial small subunit ribosomal RNA
Source: RNAcentral